AAGAGAUAGCCUGACCAGACAGGGCUUCCAUCUGGCAGUGCCCAUGCCUAGAUAUACCUGGGCUCACCAUACAACAUCCCAGCCCACACAAGGCCCUGCUACACCUCCAUCCAACAUGCUCCUGGACUGACCCUAUUGAAUCCACAUUCCCACAUAUUACCCUGACUCAUAUCACCUAGAUCAUGACAGAAACCAGAUGUGGCCUCAAACCACACUUCUGAACCUCCAAUCUACCAUUCUCUCUUGCCUCCUGACUCCAGGCAGGGGGCUCACAAGUUAGCAGAGCAGGGCCUAACCCGAUUACAUAGCCAUAGACUGCUAUGGGUUGUGUUUCUACAGAAGUCAAAUGUUGAAGUCGUAACUUCCACUAUUUCAGAAUAUGACUGUUUUUGAGAUAGGGCCUUUAAAGAGGUGAUUAAUGCUAAAUGGGAUCACAAGAGUGGCAUCUAAUCCAAUAUAAAUGCUGUCCUCAUAAGAAAAGGAGAUUAGGAAACAGAGAAGGACCAGUGAAGACACAGAGAAAACGGCUGUCUACAAGCCAAGGAGAGAGGCCUCAGAAGGAGCCAACCCUACUGACACCUGGAUCUCAACCAUGUAGCCUCCAGAAUGAACGUCUAUCCUAUGCCUGCACCACCAUUGCAUUUUGGAAGCACAAAACUUGUCUGGUUUCAUGCUUCACAACUGAAGAAGAAUUUUGCCUUGGAAUGACUCAUACUUCACCUCCCUCACACUUGACUUAGAUGGCAUUCAGAUAAGAUUUUGA
This 763-nucleotide non-coding RNA is filed under the name Pongo abelii (Sumatran orangutan). The record is from RNAcentral. Lineage: Eukaryota; Metazoa; Chordata; Mammalia; Primates; Hominidae.